This 254-nucleotide ribosomal RNA is filed under the name uncultured bacterium. RNAcentral describes it as "partial 16S ribosomal RNA". It matches the Rfam family "Bacterial small subunit ribosomal RNA", at positions 524 to 776 of the family's 1533-position model. The record is from RNAcentral.
UACGUAGGGUGCAAGCGUUGUCCGGAAUUAUUGGGCGUAAAGGGCUCGUAGGCGGUCUGUCACGUCGGGAGUGAAAACUCAGGGCUUAACCCUGAGCCUGCUUCCGAUACGGGCAGACUAGAGGUAUGCAGGGGGAGAACGGAAUUCCUGGUGUAGCGGUGAAAUGCGCAGAUAUCAGGAGGAACACCGGUGGCGAAGGCGGUUCUCUGGACCGAGACUGACGCUGAGGCGCGAAAGCGUGGGGAGCAAACAGG